This is a long non-coding RNA of Brienomyrus brachyistius, 1054 nucleotides long. RefSeq lists it as uncharacterized. NCBI's taxonomy places the organism in Eukaryota, Metazoa, Chordata, Actinopteri, Osteoglossiformes, Mormyridae. The transcript has 3 exons. The record is from RefSeq and is a predicted model, not a curated record.
GUGGCCUAUCGCCACCGCUAACGAGCUCCUUCGCAUAUCAAUCGCCGCACGCGCUUGGGGGCGCCGAUCUUUUUAAUUCAUGUAAAGCGGACAUAUGUGUUUGUGGAGAGCUGGUGUUUUUGAAAGAAGACACGUCAAGGGUUGUAAUAUUUUCCUUAGCAUGUGCCUGGGGUUGUCAUGACAACCGCAUUCCCCUUCAGAGGUCUCCAGAGGAACCCGAUGUCCUCUUUCUCCGGGUACAGUUGGAAUAUCCCCCACGCUGCUUAGAGGAGGAACGGAUGAAUUAUUUACAAUCUUCGCAAGCAUCAAGUAGCUGGCAGCCAUGCUCAGCUCGACAGGAAGCUGCGGAGUGUCUGGGCCCCGAGGCAGUGCAUUUUCCGUCUGCCUCGUUUUAAUCCCUCAUUACACACAGAGCACUAACGUUUAACGAGGCUCGGAUGGGAGCCACGGCCAGUCGCACAUGGGGUCAUGGAGCUGCAGGAGUUAAACAAUGAUGGAGCAUGUUUUUAUCCUGGCAAACCAGUGAAGCAAGCGCACGCUAACGCUAAUGUAUGCCCUGCUUCUGCUUCGUGCUUACAUCACUGGAUCUUUGCGUAUGUGAGCCGACGGUGCACAAAAAUCCACUUUCCUCAAUCCCAAAGAGCGACAUUAGCUGUGUGCUUUUGCAGUGCUGCAGAGGGGCGUGAGUUUCUCAUCGAGAUGCCACAGUGUGCGGGUCACCAACCAUCCGGACAACCAAAGCAGCCGAGACAAGGGUUGGCUAAAGAGCACUGGGCCCUGCUGCCGACCUGAGGUCACUGCAGCUUCCUGCUGGCUGCUGCUUACUCUGCGUCUAACUGGCCUGUGUUGGAGUUUUUGUUUAUUGAAGUGGGAAUGGGAAAGAGGAGCCAUAUACACACACGCAUGACCAGAAUCCCUGAGGUUACAGUACACGCUCUGCCAUGUAACUGAGCUCUCCUGGGUUUCACUGAACCAGCUCCAUCCUGUAGCCUGACGGACAGACUGUGUGCUUUAUGCCAGUGAGACACAGAGACCCUCUGCUGGCCACCCCAAU